RNAcentral lists this ribosomal RNA (497 nucleotides) under uncultured bacterium. RNAcentral describes it as "partial 16S ribosomal RNA". It matches the Rfam family "Bacterial small subunit ribosomal RNA", at positions 28 to 507 of the family's 1533-position model. The record is from RNAcentral.
GAUGAACGCUGGCGGCGUGCCUAAUACAUGCCAGUCGAGCGAACGCACGAGAAGCUUGCUCCUUUGAUGUUAGCGGCGGACGGGCGAGUAACGCGUGGAUCACCUACCUCUAUUUCUGGGAUAACUUCGGAAAGCCGGAGAUAAUACUAGAUCAUAUUUUCUACCGCUGGGUUCAAAAGUGAAUGACGGUUUUCCUGUUACAUUUAGAUGGUUCCGCGCUGCAUUAGCUAGUUGGUAAGGUAACGGCUCACCAAGGCAACGAUGCAUAGCCGACCUGAGAGGAUGAUCAGCCACACUGGAACUGAGACACGGUCCAGACUCCUACGGGAGGCAGCAGUGGGGAAUAUUGCGCAAUGGGCGAAAGCCUGACCGAGCAACACCGCGUGAGUGAAGAAGGUCUUCGGGUCGUAAAGCUCUUCUAUUAGGGAAGAACAUAUGUAUGAUUAACUGUGGAUAUUUUGACGGUACCUAAACAGAAAGCCACGGCUAACUUCGUG